This 73-nucleotide transfer RNA is filed under the name Bos taurus (domestic cattle). It matches the Rfam family "tRNA". From Rfam's summary of the family: Transfer RNA (tRNA) molecules are approximately 80 nucleotides in length. Their secondary structure includes four short double-helical elements and three loops (D, anti-codon, and T loops). Further hydrogen bonds mediate the characteristic L-shaped molecular structure. tRNAs have two regions of fundamental functional importance: the anti-codon, which is responsible for specific mRNA codon recognition, and the 3' end, to which the tRNAs corresponding amino acid is attached (by aminoacyl-tRNA synthetases). tRNAs cope with the degeneracy of the genetic code in two manners: having more than one tRNA (with a specific anti-codon) for a particular amino acid; and 'wobble' base-pairing, i.e. permitting non-standard base-pairing at the 3rd anti-codon position. Lineage: Eukaryota; Metazoa; Chordata; Mammalia; Artiodactyla; Bovidae. RNAcentral also lists the same sequence under 2 other names. The record is from Rfam by way of RNAcentral.
UCCCUGGUUGCCCAGUGGUUAGGUCUCUGCACUUCCACUGCAGGGGGCACGGGUUCAAUCCCUGGUCAGGGAA